CGCCGCUGCUGGGGGGCGGCCUGCUGCUGGCCGCGCGCGACGGUCUGUGGCGGUUCGAUCCGCACAGCGGCGA
RNAcentral lists this transfer RNA (73 nucleotides) under Pseudaquabacterium pictum. RNAcentral describes it as "Aquabacterium pictum tRNA-Ala". The record is from RNAcentral. Lineage: Bacteria; Pseudomonadati; Pseudomonadota; Betaproteobacteria; Burkholderiales; Sphaerotilaceae.